ACGUUAAUCGGGGCAGGGUGAGUCGACCCCUAAGGCGAGGCCGAAAGGCGUAGUCGAUGGGAAACAGGUUAAUAUUCCUGUACUUGGUGUUACUGCGAAGGGGGGACGGAGAAGGCUAUGUUGGCCGGGCGACGGUUGUCCCGGUUUAAGCGUGUAGGCUGGUUUUCCAGGCAAAUCCGGAAAAUCAAGGCUGAGGCGUGAUGACGAGGCACUACGGUGCUGAAGCAACAAAUGCCCUGCUUCCAGGAAAAGCCUCUAAGCAUCAGGUAACAUCAAAUCGUACCCCAAACCGACACAGGUGGUCAGGUAGAGAAUACCAAGGCGCUUGAGAGAACUCGGGUGAAGGAACUAGGCAAAAUGGUGCCGUAACUUCGGGAGAAGGCACGCUGAUAUGUAGGUGAAGUCCCUCGCGGAUGGAGCUGAAAUCAGUCGAAGAUACCAGCUGGCUGCAACUGUUUAUUAAAAACACAGCACUGUGCAAACACGAAAGUGGACGUAUACGGUGUGACGCCUGCCCGGUGC
This 522-nucleotide ribosomal RNA is filed under the name Escherichia coli. RNAcentral's name for it is "partial 23S ribosomal RNA". It matches the Rfam family "Bacterial large subunit ribosomal RNA", at positions 1362 to 1869 of the family's 2925-position model. Lineage: Bacteria; Pseudomonadati; Pseudomonadota; Gammaproteobacteria; Enterobacterales; Enterobacteriaceae. The record is from RNAcentral.